This 299-nucleotide ribosomal RNA is filed under the name uncultured bacterium. Its description in RNAcentral is "partial 16S ribosomal RNA". It matches the Rfam family "Bacterial small subunit ribosomal RNA", at positions 794 to 1089 of the family's 1533-position model. The record is from RNAcentral.
UCCACGCCGUAAACGAUGUCAACUAACUGUUGGGACCUUAAAGGUCUUAGUGGUGGAGCUAACGUAUUAAGUUGACCGCCUGGGGAGUACGGCCGCAAGGCUAAAACUCAAAUGAAUUGACGGGGGCCCGCACAAGCGGUGGAGCAUGUGGUUUAAUUCGAUGCAACGCGAAGAACCUUACCUACCCUUGACAUCCAGAGAAUCUGUUAGAGAUAGUAGAGUGCCUUCGGGAACUCUGAGACAGGUGCUGCAUGGCUGUCGUCAGCUCGUGUCGUGAGUAUGGUUGGGUUAACGUCCCG